Molecule: ribosomal RNA, 387 nt
Filed under: Parabodo caudatus
Lineage: Eukaryota; Euglenozoa; Kinetoplastea; Parabodonida; Parabodonidae
Description: eukaryotic LSU rRNA
Rfam family: Eukaryotic large subunit ribosomal RNA
Source: RNAcentral
ACAGACCUGAGCAUGGCAGGACUACCCGCCGAACUUAAGCAUAUUACUCAGCGGAGGAAAAGAAAACAACCGUGAUUCCCUCAGUCAGCGGCGAGCGAAGAGGGACCGAACUCGUUGCCGAAUCGGGCCUCAAACGGCCUUGAGUUGUGGCAUAAACGAAGCUUUGUGGAUGGUGCGGGAGUGGCGAAAUUCAAGCGCAAAGCAAACCCAUUGCUGAACACAACCCUUCAUGUGAGUAUUGAGCCAAAGAAGGUGUUAGCCCAUUCUGCCAUGACCCCAGCGCCUCAUUAAGCGAACCAAGAGAGUAGCACUGUUUGGGAAUGCAGUGUCAAGUGGCAGGUAUGUGUCUGCCAAAGUUAAAUAUUGAGUAGGAAGACCGAUAGCGAA